UAGGGAAUCUUCGGCAAUGGGGGGAACCCUGACCGAGCAACGCCGCGUGAGUGAAGAAGGUUUUCGGAUCGUAAAGCUCUGUUGUUAAGGAAGAACGAGUGUGAGAAUGGAAGUUCAUACUGUGACGGUACUUAACCAGAAAGGGACGGCUAACUACGUGCCAGCAGCCGCGGUAAUACGUAGGUCCCGAGCGUUGUCCGGAUUUAUUGGGCGUAAAGCGAGCGCAGGCGGUUAGAUAAGUCUGAAGUUAAAGGCAGUGGCUCAACCAUUGUAGGCUUUGGAAACUGUUUAACUUGAGUGCAGAAGGGGAGAGUGGAAUUCCAUGUGUAGCGGUGAAAUGCGUAGAUAUAUGGAGGAACACCGGUGGCGAAAGCGGCUCUCUGGUCUGUAACUGACGCUGAGGCUCGAAAGCGUGGGGAGCGAACAGG
Molecule: ribosomal RNA, 428 nt
Filed under: Bacteroidota bacterium
Lineage: Bacteria; Pseudomonadati; Bacteroidota
Description: Bacteroidetes bacterium partial 16S ribosomal RNA
Rfam family: Bacterial small subunit ribosomal RNA
Source: RNAcentral